AUACGUAGGGUGCAAGCGUUAAUCGGAAUUACUGGGCGUAAAGCGUGCGCAGGCGGUUUUGUAAGACAGUGGUGAAAUCCCCGGGCUCAACCUGGGAACUGCCUUUGUGACUGCAAGGCUAGAGUACGGCCGAGGGGGAUGGAAUUCCGCGUGUAGCAGUGAAAUGCGUAGAUAUGCGGAGGGACACCGAUGGCGAAGGCAAUCCCCGGGGCCUGUACUGACGCUCAUGCCCGAAAGCGUGGGGAGCAAACAGGAUUAGAUACCCUGGUAGUCCACGCCCUAAACGAUGUCAACUGGUUGUUGGGUCAUCAUUGACUCAGUAACGAAGCUAACGCAUGAAGGUGACCGCCUGGGGAGUAAGGCCGCAAGGUUGAAACUCAAAUGAAGUGGCGGGG
RNAcentral lists this ribosomal RNA (395 nucleotides) under uncultured bacterium. RNAcentral's name for it is "partial 16S ribosomal RNA". It matches the Rfam family "Bacterial small subunit ribosomal RNA", at positions 523 to 918 of the family's 1533-position model. The record is from RNAcentral.